UCGUCUUUUCGUCGUCGCAGUUUGACGUAAGGCAAUACUCAAGCUUUUUGCGAUGGCGUGUUUUCGCCUAUUGAGUUAUCCUACAAAAACUGUAGCUGGCGCUAUUUGAGUACUUCGUAGAAUAAGUAGAUACUGAUAUGGAAAUAAGAGUGUGGACCGAUCUGAAUCAACGAACAAUAAACGCGUACGCUUCGUCCGAGAUAAAUACUAUUGACUAAAACACAGAUGGCCGAUUUCCACUGGGCGGCAGGUCUGCAUAAUUACCGGUAACAUCUCAGAUUCUAAGCCAGAAGCGUGAAUGAUAAAAAAACAAGAUCAUCAAACAUUUACACAAGUGCAUUGCAUCUGACUAUGUGGCCAAGUGGAAAUGACUGGAAUCGAUCGGCUAUUUGCAGUCCAUUUUACCUGCUACUUAUGGGUAGUCGUUUCUUGGAUGUCAAGAAAGCAAAAGAACAGAAUUUCUUUUGCUGUGGCUGCUCCUGACUCCCAUACUCCAAUAAAGGCACUUAGUAACUCAACAAAUUCCGCUAACCCUGCUCUUGGGACCCGUAGCGAGGAUCUAUCUCGAAUAUCCUUACCUUUCUUUGGGUCGAGCUCAAGCCCUUUUCCGCCAUCCGUUCAGAGAUCGCACUAAACGUCUUAGCGUGAAGCUCCAGUCCUACCGUGUUUGUCUGGACUGUCAUAGUCAAGUCGUUUGCAUAGAUAAAUAACUCAUCCGCCCAUGGAAGGUCCUGCAAACGCAGCGCGUUCUCGUUCGUUAUGUUUUACAAGAUUGGGCCCAGCAUCGGGCCCUAGGAAAUGCCCUCGCCGUCGUAAGCGCAGAAUCCCUACUCGUUAUUUUUCGGUUCUGCAGAUAAUUAGGACUUGAAGCAGUCAUCCCUGGUCUCUUUCAACAAAAGACAUCUGCCGUCUGAGGCGUUGCGUUGACGUCCAACGAAGUACAACACAGAAGAGUCGACAAUACAGCGUUUUUGUCGGAUCAAAUAAAGGGCCUUUAGAAAGACCU
This is a long non-coding RNA of Varroa destructor (honeybee mite), 1006 nucleotides long. RefSeq lists it as uncharacterized. The record is from RefSeq and is a predicted model, not a curated record. NCBI's taxonomy places the organism in Eukaryota, Metazoa, Arthropoda, Arachnida, Mesostigmata, Varroidae.